ACGCUCGACACCUACGGGAGGCAGCAGUAGGGAAUCUUCCACAAUGGACGCAAGUCUGAUGGAGCAACGCCGCGUGAGUGAAGAAGGUCUUCGGAUCGUAAAACUCUGUUGUUAGAGAAGAACACGAGUGAGAGUAACUGUUCAUUCGAUGACGGUAUCUAACCAGCAAGUCACGGCUAACUACGUGCCCGCAGCCGCGGUAAUCUGAGCGGGCUGGCAAGGC
RNAcentral lists this ribosomal RNA (223 nucleotides) under uncultured bacterium. RNAcentral describes it as "partial 16S ribosomal RNA". It matches the Rfam family "Bacterial small subunit ribosomal RNA", at positions 328 to 539 of the family's 1533-position model. The record is from RNAcentral.